CCAUAAUUUGAUUUUUAGUUUUACGGAUCCGCCGACUCUAAAAAUUUGCAUUUCAAAAAAAAAAUAAAAUCGGAAUUUUUCAAUCCGCUCGUGUCAAACCUGUGUUUUAUAAAAGCAAAUCAGUCAGAAACGUAAAAAAACACACAUGUGCAGAAUGGUAGAAGAAGGUGAGCUGUCAACUUUGAUUUUAUCGAGAGUCUACCAAUUCUGAACCCUCCCCAUUGCAUGUCUCUCUCUAUUUUUUUAAUUGCUGUUUCUACCGAUUUCGAAAAAAUCCGGAUUUUUUACCUUCUUCGAUUUGUAAAAUACCGACAAGUCAAAAACAAAAAUGGCGGUCAUGCAGUGUUUACCGGUAGCUAAUAAUGCUUAUUGCCACUGAUAACAGGUGAUAAUCAAGGUGUCAACUGUGCUACCAGAUGUAAUUGCAGUUCUAAUUGCUCAUUAUCCUCAUAAAAAGUGUUUUUUAUCAAAGACAGAGAUACCAGAUGUGGAAAUUUUGCAAAAAAGGACGGUAAAUAACGAUAUGAAUUUACUUGAUACUUUGCUGCAAACAAGUUUAUAUGCGCCUAAAACAAAACAAUUCCUCCAUAAAUAAUACGGUGAUCAGGAAAGACAUGAACUACAGUACUUUAUUAUUAAUUUAAAGAGGAAAUGAAAGCAAGUACAUGGUAACUAAUAAAGAGUCUGCAGAGGGAACACCGCGGAUUAUGAGAUUCAGUGACUUAGCAAAUCCUACAUCAACACCAGCAUAUAAAAGCCCUUGAAACUGCAGAGCAACUUGACAGUACCUCUAGAAGACUUCUUCGAAUUUAUGUAGCUAAACAGGAUCUUUAUUAAAUCCAGGAAACAAUUCUCUUGCUCCUCAUAAUGAGAAAAAUCCAUUCAUCCAUCAGUUAAAAGCUGGAAACUCAGACCGUCUGCAGAAUAUUAUUAAUUCGUUUAAUUGCCAAGUUAAACUUCGAUAUUUACCCUGAAUAUUAUUCAAAUGACACUCAAAUGAAUGUGCAAACUAUACAGUGAAGAACAUAAUUAAAUUUUUAUAAUUUCAAAUAUUACAUGGUACUCAUAUUAAACAAUGUUUGAAUUAAAAGUUGUAAUUUUUAUAAAUAACAACAUUUAUACAUGUAAUGUGUAUUAAUAUUAAAAAAAACAUAUCUUGUAA
This is a long non-coding RNA of Saccostrea cuccullata (small rock oyster), 1162 nucleotides long. RefSeq lists it as uncharacterized. The transcript has 2 exons. The record is from RefSeq and is a predicted model, not a curated record. Lineage: Eukaryota; Metazoa; Mollusca; Bivalvia; Ostreida; Ostreidae.